Eublepharis macularius is the source of this 432-nucleotide long non-coding RNA. RefSeq lists it as uncharacterized. Lineage: Eukaryota; Metazoa; Chordata; Lepidosauria; Squamata; Eublepharidae. The transcript has 4 exons. The record is from RefSeq and is a predicted model, not a curated record.
UGCUGCAGCCGGCGGGCGCCCGAGCGUCUUCUUCCCCCUGGGGCGCAGCGAAGCCGGCAGCUGCGGCGCUCUCAUUGGGCGCCCGCCCGCCUCUCGCCUCCUCCCUCCCUCCCCCCGCCGCCAGCUGCUCGCUCGGCUCUCCUCGCCUGCUUAGCAGUAGCGGCGGCACAACUUUCGCCUUUGUUGGGCAGUUCUGGUCGCGCUCCCGCAGCCGCCGGGGGAAGGAAAGCUGCGGGCGCAGCGGGCAGGUGGCUGCGCGCGGCACCCCCGCCCAGGGAAGAACGGCUUCAGAUUAACUGAGCAUCUCUGCUGGCAAGUGGCCUGUUAGUGAAGCCAUGGCAUAACAUUAAGAUUUUAACAAGGAAAAUUCCAUUAGGUAUAGAACUCCAAGGUUACUACAAAGAAGGAGGACUGUAAGUUUCCAGAAAGAGU